RNAcentral lists this ribosomal RNA (910 nucleotides) under uncultured Bacteroidota bacterium. RNAcentral's name for it is "bacterial SSU rRNA". It matches the Rfam family "Bacterial small subunit ribosomal RNA", at positions 8 to 916 of the family's 1533-position model. Lineage: Bacteria; Pseudomonadati; Bacteroidota. The record is from RNAcentral.
AGAGUUUGAUCCUGGCUCAGGAUGAACGCUAGCGGCAGGCUUAAUACAUGCAAGUCGAACGGGAUUCGGAGUAGCAAUACUUUGAUGAGAGUGGCGCACGGGUGCGUAACGCGUAUGCAACCUACCUUUAACUGGGAGAUAGCCCCGAGAAAUCGGGAUUAAUACCCCAUAACAUUACGAAUUGGCAUCAAUUUGUGAUUAAAGCUCCGGCGGUUAGAGAUGGGCAUGCGUGACAUUAGCUGGUUGGUGAGGUAACGGCUCACCAAGGCAACGAUGUCUAGGGGUCCUGGGAGGGUUAUCCCCCACACUGGUACUGAGACACGGACCAGACUCCUACGGGAGGCAGCAGUAAGGAAUAUUGGUCAAUGGGCGCAAGCCUGAACCAGCCAUGCCGCGUGCAGGAAGACGGCCCUAUGGGUUGUAAACUGCUUUUAUCAGGGAAUAAACCCCCGCUCGUGAGCGGGGCUGAAGGUACCUGAGGAAUAAGCAUCGGCUAACUCCGUGCCAGCAGCCGCGGUAAUACGGAGGAUGCAAGCGUUAUCCGGAUUCAUUGGGUUUAAAGGGUGCGCAGGCGGAUUGGUAAGUCAGGGGUGAAAUCCCACAGCUCAACUGUGGAACUGCCUUUGAUACUGUCAGUCUAGAGUAUAGUUGAAGUUGGCGGAAUGUGUCAUGUAGCGGCGAAAUGCUUAGAUAUGACACAGAACACCGAUCGCGAAGGCAGCUAGCUAAGCUAUAACUGACGCUCAUGCACGAAAGCGUGGGGAUCAAACAGGAUUAGAUACCCUGGUAGUCCACGCUGUAAACGAUGAUUACUCGAUGUUGGCGAUACACAGUCAGCGUCUGAGCGAAAGCAAUAAGUAAUCCACCUGGGGAGUACGAUCGCAAGAUUGAAACUCAAAUGAAUUGACGG